RNAcentral lists this ribosomal RNA (357 nucleotides) under Triticum aestivum (bread wheat). RNAcentral's name for it is "partial small subunit ribosomal RNA". The record is from RNAcentral. Lineage: Eukaryota; Viridiplantae; Streptophyta; Magnoliopsida; Poales; Poaceae.
AUGGUUUUUUUUCUCCCCGAACAUGAAUAUAUAGAGUUGGAGUUGAGGUCGGUGGAGCACCAGGGGGCCCACGAGGCAAGGGGAGUGCCCCCCGCCCUCGUGGACAGGGUGUGGCCCCCUGGCCUUGAUUCUUUUGCCAGUAUUUUUUAUAUAUUCCAAAAAUAUUCUCCGUUGAUUUUCAUGUCAUUCCGAGAACUUUUAUUUCUGCACAAAAAUAAUACCAUGGCAAUUCUGCUGAAAACAACGUCAGUCCGGGUUAGUUCCAUUCAAAUCAUGCAAGUUAGAGUCCAAAACAAGGGCAACAGUGUUUGGAAAAGUAGAUACGAUGGAGACGUAUCAGGUAGCGAAAUCUGUUAA